CAAAUUAGAGCUUGAAAUAAGUAUUUCAUUUACAUUGAAAUGAUAAUGAUAUAAUCAUUUAAUUUGA
RNAcentral lists this transfer RNA (67 nucleotides) under Parapediasia teterrellus. Its description in RNAcentral is "tRNA-Val". The record is from RNAcentral. Lineage: Eukaryota; Metazoa; Arthropoda; Insecta; Lepidoptera; Crambidae. RNAcentral also lists the same sequence under 1 other name.